GAAAAUGAAACCCCUGGUAGCUGCUAACUACGAGUUUUGCAUUAAUUGUAACAUUUUCU
Molecule: transfer RNA, 59 nt
Filed under: Tesseropora rosea
Lineage: Eukaryota; Metazoa; Arthropoda; Thecostraca; Balanomorpha; Tetraclitidae
Description: tRNA-Ser
Source: RNAcentral